GAUGAACGCUGGCGGCGUGCCUAAUACAUGCAAGUCGAGCGAACAGAUAAGGAGCUUGCUCCUUUGACGUUAGCGGCGGACGGGUGAGUUACACGUGGAUAACCUACCUAUAAGACUGGGAUAACUUCGGGAAACCGGAGCUAAUACCGGAUAACAUAUUGAACCGCAUGGUUCAAUAGUGAAAGGCGGCUUUGCUGUCACUUAUAGAUGGAUCCGCGCCGUAUUAGCUAGUUGGUAAGGUAACGGCUUACCAAGGCAACGAUACGUAGCCGACCUGAGAGGGUGAUCGGCCACACUGGAACUGAGACACGGUCCAGACGCCUACGGGAGGCAGCAGUAGGGAAUCUUCCGCAAUGGGCGAAAGCCUGACGGAGCAACGCCGCGUGAGUGAUGAAGGUCUUCGGAUCGUAAAACUCUGUUAUCAGGGAAGAACAAAUGUGUAAGUAACUGUGCACAUCUUGACGGUACCUGAUCAGAAAGCAACGGCUAACUACGUG
This 497-nucleotide ribosomal RNA is filed under the name uncultured bacterium. Its description in RNAcentral is "partial 16S ribosomal RNA". It matches the Rfam family "Bacterial small subunit ribosomal RNA", at positions 28 to 507 of the family's 1533-position model. The record is from RNAcentral.